RNAcentral lists this ribosomal RNA (206 nucleotides) under uncultured bacterium. RNAcentral describes it as "partial 16S ribosomal RNA". It matches the Rfam family "Bacterial small subunit ribosomal RNA", at positions 568 to 774 of the family's 1533-position model. The record is from RNAcentral.
CUCGUAGGCGGUUCGUCGCGUCCGGUGUGAAAGUCCAUCGCUUAACGGUGGAUCCGCGCCGGGUACGGGCGGGCUUGAGUGCGGUAGGGGAGACUGGAAUUCCCGGUGUAACGGUGGAAUGUGUAGAUAUCGGGAAGAACACCAAUGGCGAAGGCAGGUCUCUGGGCCGUUAUGACGCUGAGGAGCGAAAGCGUGGGGAGCGAACA